Molecule: ribosomal RNA, 484 nt
Filed under: uncultured bacterium
Lineage: Bacteria
Description: partial 16S ribosomal RNA
Rfam family: Bacterial small subunit ribosomal RNA
Source: RNAcentral
AUUGAACGCUAGCGGGAUGCUCUACACAUGCAAGUCGAACGGCAGCGCGGACUUCGGUCUGGCGGCGAGUGGCGAACGGGUGAGUAAUGUAUCGGAACGUGCCCAGUAGCGGGGGAUAACUUCGCGAAAGCGUAGCUAAUACCGCAUACGCCCUACGGGGGAAAGCAGGGGAUCGUAAGACCUUGCACUAUUGGAGCGGCCGAUAUCGGAUUAGCUAGUUGGUGAGGUAACGGCUCACCAAGGCGACGAUCCGUAGCUGGUUUGAGAGGACGACCAGCCACACUGGGACUGAGACACGGCCCAGACUCCUACGGGAGGCAGCAGUGGGGAAUUUUGGACAAUGGGGGCAACCCUGAUCCAGCCAUCCCGCGUGUGCGAUGAAGGCCUUCGGGUUGUAAAGCACUUUUGGCAGGAAAGAAACGUCGCGGGCUAAUACCCCGUGGAACUGACGGUACCUGCAGAAUAAGCACCGGCUAACUACGUG